RNAcentral lists this unclassified non-coding RNA (342 nucleotides) under soil metagenome. Its description in RNAcentral is "partial contains 5.8S ribosomal RNA, internal transcribed spacer 2, and large subunit ribosomal RNA". The stretch from base 1 to 120 matches the Rfam family "5.8S ribosomal RNA", at positions 35 to 154 of the family's 154-position model. The record is from RNAcentral.
GAUGAAGAACGUAGCGAAAUGCGAUAAGUAAUGUGAAUUGCAGAAUUCAGUGAAUCAUCGAAUCUUUGAACGCACAUUGCGCCCGCCAGCAUUCUGGCGGGCAUGCCUGUUCGAGCGUCAUUUCAACCCUCGAGCCCCCCCGGGGGCCUCGGUGUUGGGGGACGGCACACCAGCCGCCCCCGAAAUGCAGUGGCGACCUCGCCGCAGCCUCCACUGCGUAGUAGCACACACCUCGCACCGGAGCGCGGAGACGGUCACGCCGUAAAACGCCCAACUUCUUAGAGUUGACCUCGGAUCAGGUAGGAAUACCCGCUGAACUUAAGCAUAUCAAUAAGCGGAGGA